Molecule: ribosomal RNA, 588 nt
Filed under: uncultured bacterium
Lineage: Bacteria
Description: bacterial SSU rRNA
Rfam family: Bacterial small subunit ribosomal RNA
Source: RNAcentral
CCUACGGGAGGCAGCAGUGGGGAAUUUUGGACAAUGGGCGCAAGCCUGAUCCAGCAAUGCCGCGUGCAGGAUGAAGGCCUUCGGGUUGUAAACUGCUUUUGUACGGAACGAAACGGCUCUUUCUAAUAAAGAGGGCUAAUGACGGUACCGUAAGAAUAAGCACCGGCUAACUACGUGCCAGCAGCCGCGGUAAUACGUAGGGUGCGAGCGUUAAUCGGAAUUACUGGGCGUAAAGCGUGCGCAGGCGGUUAUAUAAGACAGAUGUGAAAUCCCCGGGCUCAACCUGGGACCUGCAUUUGUGACUGUAUAGCUAGAGUACGGUAGAGGGGGAUGGAAGUUCCGCGUGUAGCAGUGAAAUGCGUAGAUAUGCGGAGGAACACCGAUGGCGAAGGCAAUCCCCUGGACCUGUACUGACGCUCAUGCACGAAAGCGUGGGGAGCAAACAGGAUUAGAUACCCUGGUAGUCCACGCCCUAAACGAUGUCAACUGGUUGUUGGGUCUUCACUGACUCAGUAACGAAGCUAACGCGUGAAGUUGACCGCCUGGGGAGUACGGCCGCAAGGUUGAAACUCAAAUGAAAUUGACCGG